RNAcentral lists this ribosomal RNA (397 nucleotides) under uncultured bacterium. RNAcentral's name for it is "partial 16S ribosomal RNA". It matches the Rfam family "Bacterial small subunit ribosomal RNA", at positions 523 to 918 of the family's 1533-position model. The record is from RNAcentral.
AUACGUAGGUGCCAAGCGUUAUCCGGAUUUACUGGGCGUAAAGGGCGUGUAGGCGGUCUUGCAAGUCCGAAGUGAAAUUCCUGAGCUCAACUCGGGCGCUGCUUCUGAAACUGCAGGACUUGAGUGCUGGAGGGGAUAGCGGAAUUCCUAGUGGAGCGGUAAAAUGCGCAGACAUUAGGAGGAACACCGGUGGCGAAGGCGACUUUCUGGUCUGUAACGGACGCUGCGGCACAAAAGCGGGGGGAGAAAACAGGAGUAGAUACGCUGGUAGUCCACGCCGUAAACGAUGAAUUCUAGGUGUAGUGGGUGUCGAGUCCAUCUGUGCCGCAGGUAACGCAAUAAGUAUUCCGCCUGGGGAGUACGGUCGCAAGGUUGAAACUGAAAGGAAUUGCCGGGG